ACAAUCCUGACAUUUCAUUGUUUUGUUACUUGGGGCAGUAUUAACCAGUGGCCUUUGUAUGUACAUUCAUUGCUUACAUUUAUUGUUUAAGUGGUAGAGUAGCAUUUUUAUGAACUUCCCUGUUCAGUAUUAGUGAAAUUGACAGAUGCGUAUAUGUAAAGAUAGAAAAGAAACGAAUACAAUUAAUUUUUUAUUCCUUGAGGCCUAUUUAUUUGUUUUGGCCCUGGAUCUUUUCUAAUCACAAUUAUAUUUCUUUAUUUUUGCCUUUGAGCAGUUUCAUUUAUCUUUGUGGGCAGGGAAGAUUAAAUAUGAAAUUCAGUCCAGUCAUUUUGCUACUGGUUAGCUUUAGUUUGAGGCAAGUAAAAAUUUUUGAUUAAAAUUAGUUUCUUAAAAUUAUGCCCUUGCUUUACCAAAUAAUCAAAUUGGCUAAAAAAUAAGGGUAUGUAACUUUGCAUUUUGAAGAACAAACCAAUAAUUUUUCAUGAGCCCUACUCGAUCUUCUUUAAAGAAGACCUUCCUAAGAGACAAUUAGGGAUGAGUUUGAUUAAUGGGAAAUAGCUCUAGGUUAGAUUAUUUUAAAUUCCAUACACCAAGUGAUUUAACCACAGUGGCAGUGGCAGUUUCUGAACCGUCAAGUAUGAACAUCACUUAAAAAUUAAAAGAUGCUUAAUAAUAAACUCUUAAUUUUCAUUAAGCCAAUCUGUAAUUCAGAAGAAAAGCAUAUGUCUGCCAUGGGACUAUUGCAGUGCGUCUCCAUCAGUGUUAACACAGGAGAGAUAUGUUAUUUUAUGUGUAUGUCUUAGUUUGGGAUAUGUGGUAGUAAGAACAUGUCAAGAGUGCUUUCUUCAAACCUGUCAGCUCAACUGAGAAGACAGUUACUUCAUUGCUUAUUUUUUCCCUUGUUUUAUUGAAAUCUGUAUCUCAUAUCCAGUAUCUAACACUUUGUAGAGAUACUUACAUAUAAUGUAAGUGCACACCUACCCAGAGGAAUGGAUAACUGUUAAAGUGUUAAUAAUAGCUCGUCUUAGUUGAUUUCAGCAUAAUUUACAUUAGGGAGACCUAAAAAGCACCUUCAAAGUAUUAAAAGCACCUUUUUUUUUUCUUUUUCCUAAAAAAGCAAUUAAAAUGGUCACUGCUAACAUUUAUUAAACUUCAUGUUAGUUGAUGAAACAGCUGGAGGGAAGCUGCCACAUCUCCUAGCUAAGCAGUCUGACUUACCUGUUGGGAAACAAAGGGAUAUUGCUCUAAGAUUGAUUAGGAUGAUUGUAGCUAGAGUCUUGAAUUCUAUCUGUAUACGGCAGAGAAACUUUAUAGAGUGUAGAGAGGUGAGCGAAAGGAUGCAAAAGCACUUUGAGGGCUUUAUAAUAAUAUGCUGCUUGAAAAAAAAAAUGUGUAGUUGAUACUCAGUGCAUCUCCAGACAUAGUAAGGGGUUGCUCUGACCAAUCAGGUGAUCAUUUUUUCUAUCACUUCCCAGGUUUUAUGCAAAAAUUUUGUUAAAUUCUAUAAUGGUGAUAUGCAUCUUUUAGGAAAGAUAUACAUUUUUAAAAAUCUAUUUUAUGUAAGAACUGACAGAGGAAUUUGCUUUGUAUAAUGCAGGCUGGCUUUACAAAAGCACUGUAGCAAAUUUACUACAAGUCUAAAAGUAUACAUAUAUGUUAAUAGAUAUAUGUGCAACUAGAUAUGGACAGCAGUUGUAUUUUUUUAAAUAAAUAUUUUUAACAAAAU
This 1726-nucleotide long non-coding RNA is filed under the name Homo sapiens (human). RNAcentral's name for it is "non-protein coding lnc-SLC45A3-4:1". The record is from RNAcentral. Lineage: Eukaryota; Metazoa; Chordata; Mammalia; Primates; Hominidae.